CAGUUUAUAAAUUGAUAAAUUUUAUUUUUGCACCCUGUGUUAAGCAAUAUGCUAUAAAUCUAGCUUAUUUUUAUAAGAUUUAUAUAGAAAAUGAUAAUUUUUAGAGAAAUGCAUCUUAAAUUAUGGAUAAAUUAUGCAUUGAAGGAAUUGGGGAGUGUGUGGUUUCAGAUUGGUUACAUUGGUUAAAAAAAGUGAUUGGCAAGCUCAUUCCAGAGCUCUCUAAGGGGCCCAAGAUUCACCGGCCAUGGGAUUCGAACAAGCACCAUAGUAGCCUAUUGCUCAUAUGGACCACACAUUAUAUGUUUUGAUGUUUCAGCAAAGGAUUGAUGCUGUAGUAAUCAGUAUGUAAAUAUUCACUAUUGUCCUGUAUUUAAAUACAAGAAGAACUAACAAUUGAACAGGACAAAUGUGAUUUAUAUUUUGGAAAUAUAGGCAUUUUCAGUGUAGUGAAACUUGAUGUUUUGCUGUGUUGCAGAAUGUAUUUGCUAGUAAUAUAUACACAUAAAAGAUUUUCUAGUCAUUAAACAGUGUAUUUUAUGGAUAAUUGGCUCAUUUAGAAUAACACAGUUGAUAUAAUUGUUGUUGUUGUUGUUGUUGUAGCUGCUACAGCAGUUAAAUUAGGUUAGGUUUAUAAUGUCUUAACUGCUAUUUUCAUGCAGGCAUGCAUUUUUCAGAACACAAUAUUCAUAUAAACUCUCCUGUGUGAAUUAACAAAUCUAGCCAUUUAUUAAUUAAGACAUUAUUUUCUUUCUUUUUCAGAUAUUAGAAUUACAGCAUAAAUGCCCCUUAUAAUUUUCUUAAGCAUGUACUAGUGUUGCAUAUUUUUUCAGACCAUGCAGUUACCAAAGCCUGGGUUUGAGUAUAUGACCUAACCUUAUCCUGGUAAAGAUCUAUAGAAGGACUCCUUCACCUCUGUUUGGCAGCAGCUUUGUCAGGACACAUUGAGAAGGAACUCAUUUGUUGGUGGAAGGAUUAAAGAUGUACUACCCACCAGCUGUCAGGAGUUUUUAAAGUGGUGAAUUUAAACAGUGUUACAACAGAAUGAAGAUUUCUGAAAAAAGUAGAUGGCUAAC
This is a long non-coding RNA of Ruditapes philippinarum (Manila clam), 1073 nucleotides long. RefSeq lists it as uncharacterized. The transcript has 2 exons. NCBI's taxonomy places the organism in Eukaryota, Metazoa, Mollusca, Bivalvia, Venerida, Veneridae. The record is from RefSeq and is a predicted model, not a curated record.